Molecule: unclassified non-coding RNA, 253 nt
Filed under: uncultured Planctomycetales bacterium
Lineage: Bacteria; Pseudomonadati; Planctomycetota; Planctomycetia; Planctomycetales
Description: contains 16S-23S intergenic spacer region
Rfam family: Bacterial small subunit ribosomal RNA
Source: RNAcentral
UACGAACUGUGCGAACGUUAUUCGGAAUCACUGGGCUUAAAGGGUGCGUAGGCGGCCUGUUCAGCAGGGUGUGAAAUGCCGGGGCUCAACCCCGGCACGGCGCCCUGGACUGGCGGGCUGGAGUGAGCUAGGGGUAUGCGGAACUGCCGGUGGAGCGGUGAAAUGUGUUGAGAUCGGCAGGAACGCCUGUGGCGAAAGCGGCAUACUGAGGCUUAACUGACGCUGAGGCACGAAAGCCAGGGGAGCGAACGGG